UACGGAGGGUGCAAGCAUUAAUCGGAUUUAUUGGGCGUAAAGGGCGCGUAGGCGGCGAUGAAAGUCAGAUGUGAAAUCCCGAAGCUCAACUUCGGAACUGCAUUUGAAACUCCAUCCCUAGAGGGUAGGCGGAGAAAACGGAAUUCCACAUGUAGCGGUGAAAUGCGUAGAUAUGUGGAGGAACACCUGUGGCGAAAGCGGUUUUCUAGCUUAUUUCCUGACGCUGAAGCGCGAAAGCAAGGGGAUCAAACAGG
RNAcentral lists this ribosomal RNA (254 nucleotides) under uncultured bacterium. Its description in RNAcentral is "partial 16S ribosomal RNA". It matches the Rfam family "Bacterial small subunit ribosomal RNA", at positions 524 to 776 of the family's 1533-position model. The record is from RNAcentral.